UGGGGAAUUUUGGACAAUGGGCGAAAGCCUGAUCCAGCCAUGCCGCGUGAGUGAAGAAGGCCUUCGGGUUGUAAAGCUCUUUCGGCCGGGAAGAAAUCGCACAGGCUAAUACCCUGUGUGGAUGACGGUACCGGAAUAAGAAGCACCGGCUAACUACGUGCCAGCAGCCGCGGUAAUACGUAGGGUGCGAGCGUUAAUCGGAAUUACUGGGCGUAAAGCGUGCGCAGGCGGUUUUUUAAGACAGGCGUGAAAUCCCCGGGCUUAACCUGGGAACUGCGCUUGUGACUGGAAGGCUAGAGUACGGCAGAGGGGGGUGGAAUUCCACGUGUAGCAGUGAAAUGCGUAGAGAUGUGGAGGAACACCGAUGGCGAAGGCAGCCCCCUGGGCCGAUACUGACGCUCAUGCACGAAAGCGUGGGGAGCAAACA
This 427-nucleotide ribosomal RNA is filed under the name uncultured prokaryote. RNAcentral describes it as "bacterial SSU rRNA". It matches the Rfam family "Bacterial small subunit ribosomal RNA", at positions 355 to 774 of the family's 1533-position model. The record is from RNAcentral.